Pimephales promelas (fathead minnow) is the source of this 475-nucleotide non-coding RNA. Lineage: Eukaryota; Metazoa; Chordata; Actinopteri; Cypriniformes; Leuciscidae. The record is from RefSeq and is a predicted model, not a curated record.
UCGGGACGCUUGUCCUGAGAAAAAUGGCGUUCGUCAGCUCCAGUUUGUAUCCAGCCUCUCAUGGAGACUUCAGAUGUCCCAACACCUGCAAUGAGAAGACUAAAUGCCUGUGAAGAGACGACUCAACACCUGUGAAAGAUGACUCGACGCCUGUGGAAAGACGACUCCAUGCUGGCGAUAUGUUAUGCCCUUAAUAUUACAUGAUUAUCUAAAUGUAAUUUUCCAUGUACUUUUCUGUAAUGCACUUUCUGUAAAGCUGCUUUGAAACAAGUAUUGUGAAAGGACUAUACAAACAAACUUGAAUUCACUUGCAGGGCCAACAGACACAGAGCUUACAGCGGGGGAGCUUCACUGCAAAGCAGACAGGUGAGCAUACAGUGGACUGCCAGAUAAAUACACUCAAUGGUCUGUGAAGUACAACAAUGUUAGCCUCUUCUUAUGCAGUCAGAAUGUGAUGGGAAAACUCCGGUAAGAA